UACAACCAUAUCACAUUGAAAGACCAGUUCUCAUACGAUAACUGAAGUUAAGCAAUAUUGAGCCUGGUCAAUACCUAGAUGGGUGAUCGCUUAUGAUGACUAGGUGCUGUAAG
Molecule: non-coding RNA, 113 nt
Organism: Acanthosepion pharaonis
Lineage: Eukaryota; Metazoa; Mollusca; Cephalopoda; Sepiida; Sepiidae
Source: the annotation of a GenBank genome assembly